Long non-coding RNA from Gymnodraco acuticeps, 2916 nucleotides. RefSeq lists it as uncharacterized. The record is from RefSeq and is a predicted model, not a curated record. NCBI's taxonomy places the organism in Eukaryota, Metazoa, Chordata, Actinopteri, Perciformes, Bathydraconidae. The transcript is spliced from 2 exons.
CCGGUGCAGUGCCGGACAUGGCCAUCGCGUAACGUUCAGCAGAUUUUGACCUCUUCUCUAACGAGACAAAUUCCUCUUUCAUCUUCUCUGUGGGUUUUCUAACUGGAGAGACAUCAGCACUCCUCUGGCUUUGGAAGGUCUGCUUGUUGACCCUCGCUGCCGGGCGCUCAAAGAGGUUGAUUUUACCCGCAAUGCGGCCAGUGGCUGGCUUAGGCUCCUCAUCGAUUUUCUUCAGCUGGUGUUGUCUGUGUAGGAUAAGAGAUUAAGGAGCCUGGUCGCUAGUUGGGGAGGCAUUUCCAGUGGGACUCUUCGGACCAUUUCCCUUCCAUGGAGAGAGCCAGCUCCCGAUACGGCCCAAGACCCCGGUGCUCUGCUGCUCCUCAGGGCUCUCAGACUAAAUAAAAGGCAGAGAAUAACUCACAUAAAUGUCUGAAUACACAUACAGUGAUAGUUAAUAGACAUGCAUAUUUUCAAUAAAUAUGCGCAAACUUUAGUGGAGCUGACAGUAUUAACACGUGGUAGUGCAAACAUGUUAAACUUGCCUAUGAACAAAGGAAGGGAAGGCAGGAUUGGGAUAUAAAGUAAAUAUAAGUAGAAGUUUCCCACAGACAUUUUUUAGUAGGGCCAUGCAUCUCUCAGCAUAGCAAAUACAUGCAGUGCUUAUAACCUGUAAGCUUACCGUAGAAAAUACCAUAUCAUUCAGAUUCUUUAUGUAGGAUGUGAACAUGAUUAUGGUUUAGAACAAAAACUCCUAAAGAGCAUAAAACAAAAACAAAAUCAUUCCACCAGGAAAAACAACUACAGUGUUAAAAAGCAGAACAUGACCAAACAAAAGAUAUCCUCCGUAAGCAAAGUUAUAGAUCCAUCGUUAACUCUUUUACUUUUAGCAAUUCCUUUUGGCAGUAGUUUCAAGUUCAACUCACCCUUAAUAAGACACAGAAGAAAAUGUUUGGUCCCCCCUCAAAAUAUAAAGCGCUGUAAGUUUGUAGAGGAACAGAGCUGCGCUAAGCUGCAUGUCUAACUGAUGAGCAUGUUGUGAUAAGUCCUCCUUGCAUCCAGUGAAGCAUCCACAACAGGGCAAACUGUGGCAUCGUAGAUAUUGGCGUUGUAAAAGUUCUGCCCCUGCAGCGGAGUGCACGCAGACUAGUGGUAAAACGACGCAUUCAAGUGCCCGUCGUAAAAUGUUGUGUCAAUAUAUGAAGCUGGUUAUUCAUCAGGUGGUCUGACCGGAGUUUUUAUUAUCCUAAUGACUUAAUCUGGAUACACUAAAUGUAUUUUAAUAACAUUUUACCCUCCAAGUUAAAACUAAUCUUAAAACGUUUAACUACGUCUACAGUGGGGCUGCUUCAAUAGCCUGUGCUUACAUCUAGCUUGAAAACACAUAAGGGGGAAAUAUACUGAAAUUGUUUAUCAAAGUACAAGAGAUAGCCUCCUCUACUCAAUCAUUUUCAUUGUAUGCACCUUAUAAACAACUACACUACAUAAGAGAGGCACAUGUUGUAAUUUUUACUCUAUUGCAGAGCUUUAAUGAGCAGUUCCUUUCCGAUUAGAAUAGCUAAUAUCACUCAUAUCCAGUGAAAACUAUUAGUUGAAUUUAAAUUACAUUUUUUGUGACAAACUACUAGAAUGGAAUUUAUUUUUUUAGCAGUAGUUAAAAUAAGCACAGCCAUAAAACACCAUAUCAGUAACAUGCAACAUAGGCCUACACAUUACGUUUAAAGUGAUAGAUCUUGAAACUCGAAUAAUUUAAGAAUCUAUAGUUUGUAUGGCAUAUAUUGUUAUUUUACUUUCAAUAUUUCUGAAGGUGUUUUUUUUUCUUAUUAAAUGUUUUUUCCUAAAUGUUUUUUUUUAUCUUUAGAGGGGUCACAAGGUCAAGAGUAAUUACGAUGAAUUCUUUUUUCUCCCGUGUUAUGUAUUUAAAAUUGGAUGUGGCAUAGUUUAGUUUUGGUUGACUCCUGUAAUUUUGGUCAUUUUUGGCCAACUCCCAACUUUUCAAAUAUAUGUUUUGUUUCAAAGACAAAUUACAUAUGUUGUUUGUCUGUGUGUGCAAUUCAUAUAUAGUGUUACUCUCAUUACAUAACUAGUAUUGUGUGUCUCAAUGUCUCUGUACACAUAUUAUAGUAGUGGCACAGCCUCACUCCAUUACAACAAAACAUUAAAAACAUAACAAGUGGCUGUACCUUUUCCAAUUAAUACACAUUCACUUCAUUAAUCUAAUACAGUAAAGUCAUAUAAAUUGGAUUAGUAAUUCUGAUUAUUUACACAGAAAUCAAACAUGUGUGUACAGGUAAACUCUAAUGUUAACACAUCAGCUACGCUCCUCAAGUAUCAACGUAUCAUGUGGCUGUCAAAUAUGUGAGACAUUGCUAAACCUCAGUGAGUCCAAAUUUGACCUUGUAGCAAACAAAUCUGUAGGCCAUAAAUACAGAUUAUUGGAAACCAUUUAAUAGUAACCAGCUUGUGACUUCUCCAAAGUGGUCGAAAAAAGCAUCAUUGUGUCGGAUAUUUAUCCAAUGGCAUGAAUAAACAGGUUUGAACACUGCCGUUUAAAAGUGAGAUGCAUAGUAGUGUGUGUCACUGCUGACUUUAUUUUCUGAAGCACCUCUUUCAGUUCGAAUGUGUGUUGUCAAAAUUCCUACAUUUUUGUCAGCCAUGGAAGGCAGCAAGAGGCCGUGUGGUCCAAACACAUUUUCCAGGGGAAAUGACGCAGUCAGUGUGUGGGUUUCAAAGCCUGUUGAAUAUAGUUUGUUCGGUUUUCCAAACCUGUGAGCCCUUGUUUCACUUGGCGGGCAGCUAUAUUCAGUCUUUCCAUGCAACUUAGUCUAGGAAUUUAACCCAUUAAAAGAUUUGUGUCCAUGUAAAUAGAGAUGAUUCCAACUGUUAAUUUUAAUGAAAUAAAUUAAACUUUUUUCGGUC